This 367-nucleotide ribosomal RNA is filed under the name uncultured Nitrososphaerota archaeon. Its description in RNAcentral is "bacterial SSU rRNA". It matches the Rfam family "Archaeal small subunit ribosomal RNA", at positions 514 to 881 of the family's 1478-position model. Lineage: Archaea; Thermoproteati; Nitrososphaerota. The record is from RNAcentral.
AGCAUCCGUAGCCGGCUGUUCAAGUUUCCGGUUAAAUCCACACGCUUAACGUAUGGGCUGCCGGAAAUACUGUUCAGCUAGGGAGUGGGAGAGGUAGACGGUACUCGAUAGGAAGGGGUAAAAUCCUUUGAUCUAUUGAUGACCACCUGUGGCGAAGGCGGUCUACCAGAACACGUUCGACGGUGAGGGAUGAAAGCUGGGGGAGCAAACCGGAUUAGAUACCCGGGUAGUCCCAGCUGUAAACGAUGCAGACUCGGUGAUGCAUUGGCUUGUGGCCAAUGCAGUGCCGCAGGGAAGCCGUUAAGUCUGCCGCCUGGGAAGUACGUACGCAAGUAUGAAACUUAAAGGAAUUGGCGGGGGAGCACAA